Molecule: unclassified non-coding RNA, 727 nt
Filed under: Garcinia sp. NG139
Lineage: Eukaryota; Viridiplantae; Streptophyta; Magnoliopsida; Malpighiales; Clusiaceae
Description: partial contains small subunit ribosomal RNA, internal transcribed spacer 1, 5.8S ribosomal RNA, internal transcribed spacer 2, and large subunit ribosomal RNA
Source: RNAcentral
AUUUAGAGGAAGGAGAAGUCGUAACAAGGUUUCCGUAGGUGAACCUGCGGAAGGAUCAUUGUCGAAACCUGCCCAACAGCAAGACCCUGUGAACUCGUUUAACAAAUUAACAAGYGUGUGUGGUGGGUCAUUGGAUCGACAACAUGCCCUUGUAAGUCGAGGGGUGCCCAUUGCUCACGUAGCAUUUGGGUCCUCAAGACACAACAAACCAAUCCCGGCGCGGGUUGCGCCAAGGAAUUGUCGUAAACAGAAGGAACUCUUAUCCGUCCUGGAAACAGCGUACGUGAUGAGGCCUUGUUCCUUUUUGUUAGCCAUAAACAAAACGACUCUCGGCAACGGAUAUCUCGGCUCUUGCAUCGAUGAAGAACGUAGUGAAAUGCGAUACGUGGUGUGAAUUGCAGAAUCCCGUGAACCAUCGAGUUUUUGAACGCAAGUUGCGCCCAAAGCCUUUUGGUUGAGGGCACGUCUGCCUGGGUGUCACACAUCGUUGCCCAAAAACCCAAAUUGUGAUGGGACUUGGGYGGAUCUUGGUCUCCCGUGUGCCCAUUGCUCGCGGUUGACCCAAAUACGAGCCUCGUUGAUGUUGUACAUGGCAAUCGGUGGUGUAAAGGCCCUCGGAAAAUGCUGUGCACUCUCGUCACCUUGGUGUUAAUGGCCCCAAUGCAGUCAUUGCAUUAUCUUGAAGCGACCCCAGGUCAGGCGAGACUACCCGCUGAGUUUAAGCAUA